This 607-nucleotide long non-coding RNA is filed under the name Panicum hallii. RNAcentral describes it as "long non-coding RNA (PHAL_LNC000714)". The record is from RNAcentral. Lineage: Eukaryota; Viridiplantae; Streptophyta; Magnoliopsida; Poales; Poaceae.
GACAAUGGGAAAACGUGGUUUAGUCCACAACAAACUUUACCUGGCAAAUUUGUUUGAUACAUACUGCGAUUUUAUAAUUUUAUCUACAAAACACUACAUCAAAUAAAAUAAUCAUUUGGAAGAUAGACGAUGAGUUAAAAAACUUUGUUGCUCAUGGCUUUUUUCUUCUUCUAAGCUGGAGGACAGAUAGAGCUCAGCGCUCUGGUCUCCUCGCUACUCUCUGCGUUGCUGGAUGAUGCUCAUCUUGGAUAUGAAGCACCGCGAGCUGAUCUCCUCCGUUGGUGCUCUCCAAGCCGAUUUCCUCUUCCUUCUUUGAUUGGCUAACCUCGUUGACGUGCCUGGCCCCCUGGAGCAAGCCGCGGUUGGCUCGAACUUGCGCCCACCUAGCAGGACGCAGUGGCCUCUCCUCGCCUUCGCCCUCCUUCACCCUGCGUCGCACCGCGCCGCUCCAUGCGACGCUCGCUCACGUCGCCGCUCAAGAGGUAUGCCGCCAGCAAAAGGGCACACGGAAGGUAGGAGGCGUGGUCGUGACCAUGCGCAACCGAUAGAAGGGAAUGAAAGAUUCAGACGAAGCUGGCGUUGAACAAGAGAGGGUAAAGUGGAAAUU